RNAcentral lists this transfer RNA (77 nucleotides) under Bacillota bacterium. RNAcentral's name for it is "tRNA-Val". It matches the Rfam family "tRNA". From Rfam's summary of the family: Transfer RNA (tRNA) molecules are approximately 80 nucleotides in length. Their secondary structure includes four short double-helical elements and three loops (D, anti-codon, and T loops). Further hydrogen bonds mediate the characteristic L-shaped molecular structure. tRNAs have two regions of fundamental functional importance: the anti-codon, which is responsible for specific mRNA codon recognition, and the 3' end, to which the tRNAs corresponding amino acid is attached (by aminoacyl-tRNA synthetases). tRNAs cope with the degeneracy of the genetic code in two manners: having more than one tRNA (with a specific anti-codon) for a particular amino acid; and 'wobble' base-pairing, i.e. permitting non-standard base-pairing at the 3rd anti-codon position. Lineage: Bacteria; Bacillati; Bacillota. The record is from RNAcentral. RNAcentral also lists the same sequence under 1 other name.
GGAAGUUUAGCUCAGCUGGUUAGAGCACCUGCCUUACAAGCAGGGGGUCAUAGGUUCGAAUCCUAUAACUUCCACCA